Molecule: long non-coding RNA, 3138 nt
Organism: Corvus hawaiiensis (hawaiian crow)
Lineage: Eukaryota; Metazoa; Chordata; Aves; Passeriformes; Corvidae
Exons: 5
Source: RefSeq, a predicted model, not a curated record
UCAGCUCCAGAGGGCAGAAGUCUGCAGGAACUUAGAAAACUUUCUCCUUCAUAGAGAAGUAUUUAGGCUUCCAACACUGUUUAUUACAGGAAAUUCUUUCAGAUUUUCAGAGCACAGAGCAGACAUGAACUUCUCUGCUUAUCCCCAUUACAAGUAAAAUGCAUCACAGUAACCAGACCCUCUAUUUAUAGCAAUAAAGUUUAACAACAGAAGGCUGGGGGAGGGAAACAGAAUGAAGGCUUUGUUCAUCUGUUGCAGCAAGAGUGGAUUUUGAUAUUUUUCUUUGAAGAAAUCCAUAGACCCAAUUUCAAAUGAAGAUGGUAAACCAACCAGUGAACUGCCUUGGAGGUGAAGCCAUCAUAAUUUUCUAGUCCCCAACUCCAGGAAAAAUGAGCAAUUUUAUUUCACUGAGAAUUACAGUUUUUGGGAAUGCGUUCUGGAAAACCAACAAGAAGCUGUAGCAGAAGAGUGUGAGGAGUCCUCCCCCUGAGGAGGAGGGAGUGGCAGAGACAUGUGAUGAACUGACUGCAGCCCCUGUUCCAUGUCCCUCUGUGCCAUUGGAGGAAAGCUGAAUCCAAGGAAUACUGACAGCAGAAAGCUGGCACCAGUGAAUGUAUUUGGACCAAUCCGCCAGCGCAACAUGUGUUGCAAAAGCAAGACCGUGGAGACAAUCAUGGAAUCAGAACAACAAGCCAGUGAAUCAAUGCUUUGAAAAAUAGAGGAAGAAGUAAAAUAAAUUAGAAAAUCACAGGCUAAGCUUUGAGAGUUCAUGUCAUGGAUUUUACUCCUCCCUUCGUUCAAGAAAGCACAAUAUAGUGAGAAGAGUGAAAACAAAAUCAAGGAGCACCCAGUGCAAUUAUGAAAGCCAGGAACGAAGCCUUCUCACUGAUACAGAUCACCGAUGACAGCAGGAGAACAUAAACAUAGCACUAUUCCAUAGCUUGAUACUUUAAUACUGGGGGUUUCAGUUUCCUUUUUGAAGCCCCUUUUUCAUCAAAACAUAGAAAGCAAUGCUAAUAGGCCACCAUUUCUUUUAUUUGGUGUCCUUCUAGACCCCAGAGCAAGGUCUAAUAAACAGAGUGCUCUAGAGAAACACUACUUCUCCAGAGUUCCUGAGAAGUGCAAUCACUUCAGUAAAGUCUGUGCCAGGCAGAGGAUUCUCUUCCUCUCUGCCAACUAUUUCAGCUGGCAUGGGGCAUGGUGGAGGCUCUUGUCCCCUGAUCCAGCUCUGUAUCAUCUCAAAUCAUUCAGCUCAUCCACCACCCUCUUACCAAAACAAUGCCUGUCCCCUACAGUGGCUCACAACUUGAAGACCGGCUCAUAUAAGUCAUCUGUUCCUUCUGCUUACUGAAUUUCUCUUGGAAUUGGGUAGAAUGGACCCCAAACUCAAGCUCUGUGUCCUUGAAGUCUGCAAGGCUCACAAAUCCAAUGGACCAAUCUCCGGCAAGCUCAUCUAGCUCUUUCUUCAAAACCCAGCAAGAAGCCUCUACCAGAAAACUGCAGGCUCUGCCAGAAACUCUGUGCAAAGUUUGCUGAGAAUAACCUCACCAUAAGCACCAUACCAAGGCCUGGGGACAGAAAUAUGCAAGAGGGAGAAGCCAACAGGCUAAGCACCAGGCAAAGCAAGAAUGGUUCCCAAAUUUGAUUGUGACUACAACUGGUAGUCUGGGCUUGGUAGUUCGACAUUGCUCAGGUUCUCAUCAGUAAGGGAAAUAUUUGCCAUAAUUUCCCAUCUUGAAGAGUUUCACUGUGCAGAGAAAUCAUGAAACUAGCCAGCUAAACAUUCCACAGACUGGUAGUUUGCUGGCCUGUAAAGCUAAGUCAUAUUGCAAUUGUGUCUUGCAUAAUAUUCAAUUAUGGAAAAGUCUGAAAAGCAACAGAUGAGAAAAACGGAUACUAUUAUUCCUGCACUAGGAUGAAAGGGAUUAAAAUGGUAUCCAUCAGGCUGUAACAGAAGUCUGAUGAACUUGGGAUGACUAGACGCUGUCUCACACUCUUGAUCUGUCCUCCUUUACCUCUGUAAACCUUUUCCAGAUUUAAAAAAUAUGAAAGUGUACUUCUGCCCAAGAUGCCUGGCAACUUUGUAGGACCUGCACACCUGGAAAGCCUAGGGUUUUAUAUAUGCAGCAGUGAUCAUUAUAAAUGAACUAGUCAAAUGAGAACACAUAAAAAUGAAGGCAGCCUUCCUGAAAGGUCUGAAGCAUAAUGGAAGAGGUUUUUUUCAUCUAAACAAUGCUGAAAUAGGGAUCUGGAAGCACUUCUUUCAAGAUUCUCUGUUAUAAAUGUUUCUGCUACUCAAAAAUAAAAGUCAAUCAUAAGUGUGAUCAUCUGUGUUAAAAUAAGGGAAUCUCAAUUUCAUAUUCUGCCUAGAUGAAAUGUGUUCUUCCCUAGCAAGCCUUGACUGUAACACACAUUCAACAUGUUCUUUAUCAGUCCUCUCGUACCCAUGCCAAAAACCUUAUUGACUCCACCCUGAACCAAUAAAUAUUAUAAAGUCAAUAGUGCAAGUUUGGCAUUAAGACUAUUUGUGUCUUCAUGCAGAUUCUUGCCCUUCACAUGCCCUUAGAAACAGCACACUGACCACUAAUCCCGAAACGGCUUUGAAAUGCCUGCAGCAAAUCACAGCACUGCUUUGCUUUUCAAAUAAAGCAUCUGUUUAAAGGGGACCACAUUUUUAAAAGGCAUUAAACAGGUGUAAUUCUUCUUUUACAUCAAGGGUAGAUUUACACAUUGUAAUGAAUUACUGUGAUUUAGCGUCUUGUAUCCUAAGUUGAGGGUCUUCUGUGAAGAGGAACCUUUAUCCAAUUUGAUUUACAUUAUAUUUCCUUUUAUGCUCAUAGAUCUUCCCACCUGUAAUUAGCCACAGCUUUCAAGACUGCCUGUACCAGGACAUAUAUAAUGCUUCCAGUUUCAGAGCAGUGUGACACCCUCAAUUAAUGUUUGUGGUAAAAUUUCUAGUAAUUUAAGAAAAAUAUGUAAUGAGGAUUAAAAAGUCACAAUCACUAUGUCCAUGCAUUGUAAAAAAACAGUUUAAGACCAGUUAACCUCCAUGGUGCAGGUCAGCAUUUUUUCUCUGGAAAUCAUUGCAUUCCAAAAAUUAACAAAAUCAGUUUGUCCAAUAAACAAUAUUAGAAGAGA